UAAGUGGAGAGUUUGAUCCUGGCUCAGAACGAACGCUGGCGGCGUGCCUAACACAUGCAAGUCGAACGAGAAAUCUCCCGCUUGCGGGGGAGAGUAAAGUGGCGCACGGGUGAGUAACGCGUGGGUAACCUGCCCUCGAAUCUGGGAUAACCUCGCGAAAGCGUUGCUAAUACCGGAUAUUGUCCUAUUAGCUGUGGCUUUUAGGAUGAAAGGUGACCUCUUUAUAAAAGUUGCCGUUUGAGGAUGGGCCCGCGUACCAUUAGCUUGUUGGUGGGGUAAUGUCCUACGGGAGGCAGCAGUGAGGAAUUUUGCGCAAUGGGGGAAACCCUGACGCAGCAACGCCGCGUGAGUGAAGAAGGCUUUCGGGUCGUAAAGCUCUGUCAAGUGGGAAAAAACGCUUUCGAUUAAUAGUCGAGAGAAUUGAUGGUACCACUGGAGGAAGCACCGGCUAACUCCGUGCCAGCAGCCGCGGUAAUACGGAGGGUGCAAGCGUUGUUCGGAAUUACUGGGCGUAAAGGGCGUGUAGGCGGUUUGGCAAGUCAGAUGUGAAAGCCCUGGGCUUAACCCAGGAAGUGCAUUUGAAACUGCCAUACUUGAGUAUGGGAGAGGAGAGUGGAAUUCUCGGUGUAGAGGUGAAAUUCGUAGAUAUUGAGAGGAACACCCGUGGCGAAGGCGACUCUCUGGACCAAUACUGACGCUGAGACGCGAAAGCGUGGGGAGCAAACAGGAUUAGAUACCCUGGUAGUCCACGCUGUAAACGAUGAGA
Molecule: ribosomal RNA, 766 nt
Filed under: Deltaproteobacteria bacterium
Lineage: Bacteria; Pseudomonadati; Myxococcota; Myxococcia
Description: bacterial SSU rRNA
Rfam family: Bacterial small subunit ribosomal RNA
Source: RNAcentral